GUGUCCGUGCUUUCCUUUUUCCUUGGAUAUAGGUUUAGGGUUUUAAUCCACCCUAACAUCUCGUCGAUCGGGUCUGCUCCGUCAUCUACAACAUCUCCUCUCUCCGGUGCGCGGCGACAACCUCAUUUCAUGAUCUGCGGCUCGAGAAAAGCUUUGUGAUUUCUCUCUCUCUUUCUCCUGUGCAAUUGGGAAGCGAAGAGGUUUUUUGUGGACUUUUGGAGGUGGAUUUGGGAGAAGCUAGGGUUUCUUUGGGAGUCUUAGAGAUUAGGGUGGACAAUAAAUUUCAACUUCUUUGGUGGUUGGUAGUUUUUGGCUUCACCGACUUCAUAGGAUUCCCAAAUUGAAUUUUUCACUCUUGUUAACGACUUGAAACAUGGUUAGAGAUCGGUCUUGGAUGUAUUGCGGUAGGGAUCGGGCAUCAUUCAUCAAUGAUGAAUUUAUAAAGGGAGUAGAGGAAUUUAUUGCCUUUGCAUAUUCUCAAAAUGGUAUUGUCAGUGGGGAUUCUAUAAGAUGUCCUUGUCGUCGGUGUGAAAAUAGCAUGUUUCAGAUUGUUGAUAUAGUUCGUAGACACCUUUACUAUAAUGGAUUUAUGCUUGGUUAUACAACUUGGACUUCUCAUGGAGAAUAUGAAAUUGGGCAAUCUUCUAGAUAUGGAGAUGAACAUGA
Long non-coding RNA from Dioscorea cayenensis subsp. rotundata (Guinea yam), 666 nucleotides. RefSeq lists it as uncharacterized. The transcript has 3 exons. The record is from RefSeq and is a predicted model, not a curated record. Lineage: Eukaryota; Viridiplantae; Streptophyta; Magnoliopsida; Dioscoreales; Dioscoreaceae.